Molecule: ribosomal RNA, 434 nt
Filed under: uncultured bacterium
Lineage: Bacteria
Description: bacterial SSU rRNA
Rfam family: Bacterial small subunit ribosomal RNA
Source: RNAcentral
GCAGUGAGGAAUAUUGGACAAUGGGUGAAAGCCUGAUCCAGCCAUCCCGCGUGAAGGAUGACGGUCCUAUGGAUUGUAAACUUCUUUUAUAUAGGGAUAAACCUACUCUCGUGAGAGUAGCUGAAGGUACUAUAUGAAUAAGCACCGGCUAACUCCGUGCCAGCAGCCGCGGUAAUACGGAGGGUGCAAGCGUUAUCCGGAUUUAUUGGGUUUAAAGGGUCCGUAGGCGGACUCGUAAGUCAGUGGUGAAAUCUCAUAGCUCAACUAUGAAACUGCCAUUGAUACUGCGGGUCUUGAGUAAAGUAGAAGUGGCUGGAAUAAGUAGUGUAGCGGUGAAAUGCAUAGAUAUUACUUAGAACACCAAUUGCGAAGGCAGGUCACUAUGUUUUAACUGACGCUGAUGGACGAAAGCGUGGGUAGCGAACAGGAUUAGA